This 82-nucleotide transfer RNA is filed under the name Chrysemys picta bellii (western painted turtle). RNAcentral describes it as "tRNA-Ser (TGA) (tRNA-Ser-TGA-13-1)". It matches the Rfam family "tRNA". Rfam says of the family: Transfer RNA (tRNA) molecules are approximately 80 nucleotides in length. Their secondary structure includes four short double-helical elements and three loops (D, anti-codon, and T loops). Lineage: Eukaryota; Metazoa; Chordata; Testudines; Emydidae. The record is from Rfam by way of RNAcentral.
GCUGUGAUGGCUGAGCGGUUAAGGCGGUGGAGUUGAAAUCCAAUAGGGUUUACCUGUGCAGGUUUGAAUCCUGCUCACAGUG